Molecule: ribosomal RNA, 253 nt
Filed under: uncultured bacterium
Lineage: Bacteria
Description: partial 16S ribosomal RNA
Rfam family: Bacterial small subunit ribosomal RNA
Source: RNAcentral
UACGGAGGGGGCAAGCGUUGUUCGGAAUUACUGGGCGUAAAGGGCGCGUAGGCGGCCUGCUAAGUCGGAUGUGAAAUCCCUCGGCUCAACCGAGGAACUGCAUCCGAUACUGGCGGGCUUGAAUCCGGGAGAGGGAUGUGGAAUUCCAGGUGUAGCGGUGAAAUGCGUAGAUAUCUGGAGGAACACCCGUGGUGCAGACGGCUUGCUGGACCGUGACUGACGCUGAGGCACGAAAGCGUGGGUAGCAAACAGG